Molecule: ribosomal RNA, 253 nt
Filed under: uncultured bacterium
Lineage: Bacteria
Description: partial 16S ribosomal RNA
Rfam family: Bacterial small subunit ribosomal RNA
Source: RNAcentral
UACGUAGGGUGCGAGCGUUGUCCGGAAUUAUUGGGCGUAAAGAGCUUGUAGGCGGUUUGUCGCGUCUGCUGUGAAAAUCCGGGGCUCAACCCCGGACUUGCAGUGGGUACGGGCAGACUAGAGUGUGGUAGGGGAGACUGGAAUUCCUGGUGUAGCGGUGAAAUGCGCAGAUAUCGGGAGGAACACCUAUUGCGAAGGCAGCUCGCUGGGACGUUACUGACGCUGAGACGCGAAAGCGUGGGGAGCAAACAGG